GACGGAGGGUGCAAGCGUUGUUCGGAAUUACUGGGCGUAAAGCGUACGUAGGUGGCGGAUUAAGUCGAAUGUUAAAGCCUGAGGCUCAACCUCAGAGAUGCAUUCGAUACUGGUCUGCUAGAGGGUGAUAGAGGAAAGUGGAAUUCCGAGUGUAGCGGUGAAAUGCGUAGAUAUUCGGAGGAACAUCAGUAGCGAAGGCGACUUUCUGGGUCACACCUGACACUGAGGUACGAAAGCGUGGGGAGCAAACGGG
RNAcentral lists this ribosomal RNA (253 nucleotides) under uncultured bacterium. RNAcentral describes it as "partial 16S ribosomal RNA". It matches the Rfam family "Bacterial small subunit ribosomal RNA", at positions 524 to 776 of the family's 1533-position model. The record is from RNAcentral.